GGUUGGUCUGAAGGUACCGAGUGACCUCACUCCUGUCCUCACUCAGUUAGACUGGACCACUUUUCCUGUGCUUCCCACCUUCUCACUACUGCAUUUGACUCAUUUUUU
This is an unclassified non-coding RNA of Otolemur garnettii (small-eared galago), 108 nucleotides long. It matches the Rfam family "Y RNA". Rfam says of the family: Y RNAs are components of the Ro ribonucleoprotein particle (Ro RNP), in association with Ro60 and La proteins. The Y RNAs and Ro60 and La proteins are well conserved, but the function of the Ro RNP is not known. Lineage: Eukaryota; Metazoa; Chordata; Mammalia; Primates; Galagidae. The record is from Ensembl.